This 510-nucleotide ribosomal RNA is filed under the name uncultured cyanobacterium. RNAcentral's name for it is "bacterial SSU rRNA". It matches the Rfam family "Bacterial small subunit ribosomal RNA", at positions 948 to 1462 of the family's 1533-position model. The record is from RNAcentral. Lineage: Bacteria; Bacillati; Cyanobacteriota.
AAUUCGAUGAUACGCGAGGAACCUUACCUAGGCUAGAAUGUGAAGGAAUGUAUCAGAAAUGGUGCAGUCAGCAAUGACCUGAAACAAGGUGCUGCAUGGCUGUCGUCAGCUCGUGCCGUGAGAUGUUGGGUUAAGUCCCGCAACGAGCGCAACCCUCGUUCUCAGUUGCCAGCAUUUAGUUGGGCACUCUGGGGAGACCGCCGGUGACAAACCGGAGGAAGGUGGGGAUGACGUCAAGUCAUCAUGCCCCUUACGCCCUGGGCUACACACGUACUACAAUGGUUGGGACAGAGAGUUGCCAACUCGCGAGAGUGAGCUAAUCUCGUAACCCAGCCUCAGUUCAGAUUGCAGGCUGCAACUCGCCUGCAUGAAGGCGGAAUCGCUAGUAAUCGCAGGUCAGCAUACUGCGGUGAAUACGUUCCCGGGCCUUGUACACACCGCCCGUCACACCAUGGGAGCUGGUCACGCCCGAAGUCGUUAUCCUAACCUUUUGGAGGGAGACGCCUAAGG